Long non-coding RNA from Oncorhynchus keta (chum salmon), 1007 nucleotides. RefSeq lists it as uncharacterized. The transcript is spliced from 2 exons. The record is from RefSeq and is a predicted model, not a curated record. NCBI's taxonomy places the organism in Eukaryota, Metazoa, Chordata, Actinopteri, Salmoniformes, Salmonidae.
CUCAAAAAUGCAAAAUUGACUGGUAUGAUGGACACAGGAUGGCCGAGCAGUGAUAGUUGUACAUUUCCAUCACUCGUUGUGUUGAUUUCAUCAUGUCCAUUAGGUGAUGUUUUUACACUAUAGAAUCAUAUUGCAAGUGCGCGCGCAUUUGCAAUAUGUUUCAAUGUGCAUUUACCAUAUGAAAUUUGACAUGCUCAAAAAUGCAAAAUUGACUGGUCUGAUGAACACAGGAUGGCUGAGCAGUGAUAGUUGUACAUUUCCAUCACCUGUUGUGUUGAUUUCAUCAUGUCCAUUUGUUUAUGUUUUCUCACUUUUGCAAAGUCACUGUGCAUUUGCAAUAUGGUUCAAUGGGCAGGUACCAUCACGAAUUUGUCAUGCUAUAAAAAUCCUGCAGGAAUGUGAAAUUGACUGGUCUGAUGAACACAGGAUGGCCGAGCAGUGAUAGUUGUACAUUUCCAUCACUUGUUGUGUUGAUUUCAUCAUGUCCAUUAGGUGAUGUUUUUCACUAUAGAAUCAUAUUGCAAAUGCACGUGCAUUGUUGUGCAACUGGUAACCCAAAAAUUAAAAUAUGGUUGUAAAUGCAUUUACCGGUCAUUCUGAUAUUAAUGCUCGCUAUGGGAACACAGGAUGGCCGGGCAGUGAUAGUUGUACAUUUCCAUCACUCGUUGUGUUGAUUUCAUCAUGUCCAUUAGGUGAUGUUUUUACACUAUAGAAUCAUAUUGCAAGUGCGCGCGCAUUUGCAAUAUGUUUCAAUGUGCAUUUACCAUAUGAAAUUUGACAUGCUCAAAAAUGCAAAAUUGACUGGUCUGAUGGACACAGGAUGGCCGAGCAGUGAUAGUUGUACAUUUCCAUCACUCGUUGUGUUGAUUUCAUCAUGUCCAUUAGGUGAUGUUUUUUCACUAUAGAAUCAUAUUGCAAGUGCGCGCGCAUUUGCAAUAUGUUUCAAUGUGCAUUUACCAUAUGAAAUUUGACAUGCUCAAAAAUGCAAAAUUGACUGGUCUGAUGAA